This 441-nucleotide long non-coding RNA is filed under the name Heterocephalus glaber (naked mole-rat). RNAcentral describes it as "lncRNA (ENSHGLG00100027547.2)". Lineage: Eukaryota; Metazoa; Chordata; Mammalia; Rodentia; Bathyergidae. The record is from RNAcentral.
CUACAACCUCCUUGGAGAUUGUGGUGAGAAAAAUGCAAUACAUAGUUCAUCUCUGGGCAGCUGCCUUUGAUGAGUGAUUCCAUGCCAGAGAAGGACAGGGAGGACAAUAUGUGGACAUAAAAGGACUCAGCAAGGAGACACUGGAGGGGAGUCCUGAUGAGGAAGACGGAACCACGGACAUCUUCUUGUCACCUUUCUCCAUGGGAUCUGAGCUUGGAGUAUGACUGAGCCUUUGGUGAAACCCUGAGCCACAGCACAUGUUCAGGCAUCUCUGGGGUGCCCUAGGAUCUUGCCCCCAUCCUAUGACCACUCCUAGUUUGGGGUCUAAGCAGUGUCAUGAAGAGGAAGCAAAGAUAGCAAGCACAACAUGAAUGAUUAGUCAAAAUUGGAGUAAAGUCAACAAUGGACUCAUUAAUAACCGUGAUCCCAUAAAGAUUAUAG